RNAcentral lists this ribosomal RNA (716 nucleotides) under Bdellovibrio bacteriovorus. Its description in RNAcentral is "16S ribosomal RNA". It matches the Rfam family "Bacterial small subunit ribosomal RNA", at positions 313 to 1379 of the family's 1533-position model. The record is from RNAcentral. Lineage: Bacteria; Pseudomonadati; Bdellovibrionota; Bdellovibrionia; Bdellovibrionales; Pseudobdellovibrionaceae.
CUGGNNCUGAGACNCGGUCCNGNCUCUACGGGAGGCAGCAGUAGGGAAUAUUGCACNAUNGAGGAAACUCUNAUGCAGCGACGCCGCGUGAGUGAUGAAGGCUUCGGGUCGUAAAGCUCUGUCGCAGGGGAAUAACACAAUGAAUGUACCCUGUAAGAAAGGAUCCGGCUAACUUAGUGGCUUUGUAAGUNAGAUGUGAAAGCCAGGGCUCAACNNUGGAAGUGCAUUUGAUACUGCGAAGCUUGAGUGUCGGAGAGGUUACUAGAAUUGUUGGUGUAGUGGUGAAAUACGUAGAUAUCAACNGGAAUNNCGGANGCGANGGCGGGUAACUNGCCGAACACUGACACUGAGAUCCGAAAGCGUGGGGAUCAAACAGGAUUNGAUACCCUGGUAGUCCACGCCGUAAACGAUGGAUACUUGUUGUUGGAGGUAUUGACCCCUUCAGUGACGAACUAACGCGUUAAGUAUCCCGCCUNGGGAGUACGGUCGCAAGAUUNAANGGGAGGAANNUNNNNNUGAAGUAAUNUCCUNAUGGCNCUUAUGCNUAGGGCUACACACGUGCUAUCAAGGUAGUCACAGAGCGAAGCUAAGCCGCGAGGUAGAGCAAAUCGCUUAAAAGCUAUCUAAGUUCAGAUUGAUCUCUGCAACUCGAGAUCAUGAAGUUGGAAUCGCUAGUAAUCGCGGAUCAGAAUGCCGCGGUGAAUACGUUCCCGGCC